This is a long non-coding RNA of Ylistrum balloti, 100 nucleotides long. RefSeq lists it as uncharacterized. NCBI's taxonomy places the organism in Eukaryota, Metazoa, Mollusca, Bivalvia, Pectinida, Pectinidae. The record is from RefSeq and is a predicted model, not a curated record. The transcript has 3 exons.
CAAGUGACCAGACGUGCUUUACAGAAAGGUGUGGUUGCCACUUCAAACAGAUUUUGUGUUUUGGUGUCUUGCUGCUAUUAGUGACUGCAUCAGUACUGAC